Molecule: ribosomal RNA, 460 nt
Filed under: uncultured bacterium
Lineage: Bacteria
Description: partial 16S ribosomal RNA
Rfam family: Bacterial small subunit ribosomal RNA
Source: RNAcentral
CCUACGGGAGGCAGCAGUGAGGAAUAUUGGUCAAUGGGCGCGAGCCUGAACCAGCCAAGUCGCGUGAGGGAGGACGGCCCUACGGGUUGUAAACCUCUUUUGCCGGGGAGCAACGGGCGUCACGUGUGGCGCCACUGCGAGUACCCGGAGAAAAAGCAUCGGCUAACUCCGUGCCAGCAGCCGCGGUAAUACGGGGGAUGCGAGGGUUAUCCGGAUUUAUUGGGGUUAAAGGCUGCGUAGGCGGAUCGUUAAGUCAGUGGUCAAAUUGAGGGGCUCAACCCCUUCCCGCCAUUGAAACUGGCGUUCUUGAGUGGAAGAGAAGUAUGCGGAAUGCGUGGUGUAGCGGUGAAAUGCAUAGAUAUCACGCAGAACCCCGAUUGCGAAGGCAGCAUGCCGGCUUCCGACUGACGCUGAAGCACGAAAGCGUGGGGAUCGAACAGGAUUAGAUACCCUGGUAGUC